RNAcentral lists this ribosomal RNA (824 nucleotides) under bacterium RSB-3-28. Its description in RNAcentral is "bacterial SSU rRNA". It matches the Rfam family "Bacterial small subunit ribosomal RNA", at positions 32 to 862 of the family's 1533-position model. The record is from RNAcentral.
AACGCUAGCGGCAGGCUUAACACAUGCAAGUCGAGGGGUAUAGUUCUUCGGAGCUAGAGACCGGCGCACGGGUGCGUAACGCGUAUGCAAUCUGCCUUUCACAGAGGGAUAGCCCAGAGAAAUUUGGAUUAAUACCUCAUAGUAUUAUGGAGUGGCAUCACUUUAUAAUUAAAGUCACAACGGUGAAAGAUGAGCAUGCGUCCCAUUAGCUAGUUGGUAAGGUAACGGCUUACCAAGGCAACGAUGGGUAGGGGUCCUGAGAGGGAGAUCCCCCACACUGGUACUGAGACACGGACCAGACUCCUACGGGAGGCAGCAGUGAGGAAUAUUGGACAAUGGGCGCAAGCCUGAUCCAGCCAUGCCGCGUGCAGGAUGACGGUCCUAUGGAUUGUAAACUGCUUUUGUACGAGAAGAAACACUCCUAUGUAUAGGAGCUUGACGGUAUCGUAAGAAUAAGGAUCGGCUAACUCCGUGCCAGCAGCCGCGGUAAUACGGAGGAUCCAAGCGUUAUCCGGAAUCAUUGGGUUUAAAGGGUCCGUAGGCGGUUUAGUAAGUCAGUGGUGAAAGCCCAUCGCUCAACGGUGGAACGGCCAUUGAUACUGCUGAACUUGAAUUACUGGGAAGUAACUAGAAUAUGUAGUGUAGCGGUGAAAUGCUUAGAUAUUACAUGGAAUACCAAUUGCGAAGGCAGGUUACUACCAGUUGAUUGACGCUGAUGGACGAAAGCGUGGGGAGCGAACAGGAUUAGAUACCCUGGUAGUCCACGCCGUAAACGAUGGAUACUAGCUGUUGGGAGCAAUCUCAGUGGCUAAGCGAAAGUGAUA